Long non-coding RNA from Orcinus orca (killer whale), 1434 nucleotides. RefSeq lists it as uncharacterized. Lineage: Eukaryota; Metazoa; Chordata; Mammalia; Artiodactyla; Delphinidae. The record is from RefSeq and is a predicted model, not a curated record. The transcript has 2 exons.
CCUCACCCUGGAAAGACACAUGGCCAAGGGCAGUCAGCUGGAGGCCAGGCAUUCUGCUCAAAGAUGCUCUGGGCUGGGGUAGGGAGCUCUGGGAGAGGAGAGGGCGGGGGUCUGUCACUGCCAGCAGUGUCCCAUUUGUUCUUGGCCCCGUAGAUACUUAAGUAGUUUUUGAAGAAAUGGAUGAAAUUCCAACGGUUGAACUCUGUCAUCACCAUUAUUAACAUCAUAAUAACCGACAUUACCAUGAAAAUUCCCACCGUAACCACCACCAUCAUCAUUAUUCUCAUCACCUUAAAUAUCACCCCCAUUCACAUCACCAAUAUCAUCAUAAGUAAACAACCAAUAUAGUCCUUACUAUUGUCAUUGUCUCUGUCAAGGUCACUAAUUGUCUGCGCAAUCUCACAAUCAUUAUCACAUCAUCACUGUCACCUGACCCUUCAGAAUCACCAGCAACAACGUCAUUAUCGGAAUCACUAAUACCAUUAUCGCCGUCUCUCACAUCACUGUUCUCCCUACCACUGUCUUCACCACCACCAGCAGCAUCACCAACUUCUAUCCAAGGUUAUCGCCACCCCGCUAUCUUCAGUUCCGUAUCCCUCAUGGCUGUCAUCACCUGGAGAGCCACCAUGAGCAGGGGCCUCCAGCGCCCAUCCUGUUCCAUCCUGUCUGCUGCGACAGGGAGGGAAGUGGGUUGGGAGAGCCAAGAGGCAACAGCCCCCUCCUCCUUUUGGAUGAGUCAGACCACACCCAGAGGGGAUUACGCAGCCCUGCGACCACACUAUGAGGAAGCUCAUGGCUACCCUGUAGUGUGCCCCUCCACCUAGGUGAGGAUGGCCUCUGUGCAACUCCUGAAAAAAAGGUCUCUGAUCCCAGGAAAGAGAAGACUAGGGGUGAUACAAUUAUGGUCUUCUGAUUGCACCAAAGAGGGAAGGAAAUAAAGAUAGAUAAUGGUUAAUGGUUACUAAGCACUUACUACCACCCCAGUGCUGUUCUAAUGACAAAUCCAUUAACUCAUGGAACCCUCACAGCAACUUUCUGAAGUAGGUACCAUUGUAAUCCUUAUUUUUCAGGAGAUAGAACUGGGACAGAGAGAGAUGAAGUAACCUGCCUGGUCACACAACUACCCGAGACCAAGAUUAGAAGCAACAAGUUCCAUGGAGAAAGACUGAAGCCCAAUGUGACGAGCAGCUUGGAUGAGCCUGCCCUGGGAGGAAGUGAGUUCCCCAUCAUUAGGAGCAUGCAAGCACAAACUGACUUCGCCCUGGUCUGGGGUGCUAUAUACCAUGGGGAAGGGUGGGUUGGGCUGGAGAGCUCAUCUGAGGUCUCUGGUUCUGCCUCUUCUCUCCCCACAGAGCCUCUGUGAGGUCCCCAUAAGCUUCAUCCUCUGACUGGUGUCUGACACCUUCUCUUCUGUCUCCCAUCUUUUUUUUUUUU